AGUGAACGCUGGCGGUAGGCCUAACACAUGCAAGUCGAACGGCAGCACAGGAGAGCUUGCUCUCUGGGUGGCGAGUGGCGGACGGGUGAGGAAUACAUCGGAAUCUACUCUGUCGUGGGGGAUAACGUAGGGAAACUUACGCUAAUACCGCAUACGACCUACGGGUGAAAGCAGGGGACCUUCGGGCCUUGCGCGAUUGAAUGAGCCGAUGUCGGAUUAGCUAGUUGGCGGGGUAAAGGCCCACCAAGGCGACGAUCCGUAGCUGGUCUGAGAGGAUGAUCAGCCACACUGGAACUGAGACACAGUCCAGACUCCUACGGGAGGCAGCAGUGGGGAAUAUUGGACAAUGGGCGCAAGCCUGAUCCUGCCAUACCGCGUGGGUGAAGAAGGCCUUCGGGUUGUAAAGCCCUUUUGUUGGGAAAGAAAUCCAGCUGGCUAAUACCCGGUUGGGAUGACGGUACCCAAAGAAUAAGCACUGGCUAACUUCGUGCCAGCCGCCGCCGUAA
This 506-nucleotide ribosomal RNA is filed under the name uncultured bacterium. RNAcentral describes it as "partial 16S ribosomal RNA". It matches the Rfam family "Bacterial small subunit ribosomal RNA", at positions 29 to 523 of the family's 1533-position model. The record is from RNAcentral.